Molecule: long non-coding RNA, 32593 nt
Filed under: Coffea arabica (coffee)
Lineage: Eukaryota; Viridiplantae; Streptophyta; Magnoliopsida; Gentianales; Rubiaceae
Description: long non-coding RNA (CARA_LNC002079)
Source: RNAcentral
UUUUUUUUUUUUUUUUUCAAGUUAGUCUGGUUGGAUACUAAGAAUCAUACUACAUAGUAACUGAUAGGUCUGUCUGCUAUAUAAGAAUUUUAGCUUGUGCAUCCAAUACAUCCGGGAUUUUAUUGUAGGCCAUAAACAAGGGUGACCCAUAUGGUGCCCAGAUUAGUGUCUGAUCACUUCAAUUGUAAAUGGCGGAUGUGCCCUCACAACUUCUUUGCCUUUUUUUUUUUUUUGGAUUGACCUACUCAAGAAUAGCAUUUUGGUUUAUUAUUCGUCCAUUUUUAAGGUGAAUUACACCACACAAAAAAAAAAAAAAAAAGAAGCCCUGAUGUAUCUUAUUUUGCCCUUUGACUAGUGAAUUAAAUUUUGAGGUCAAUAUGAACAGUCCUUUCAGUCAUCCAUCUUGUGACAAAAAAUUGGUGAAUGGUCCUUUUCUAAGAUCUUCUUUGAACAUAUGGUUAUAGAGCCAUUUUCCUUCUAUUUAAUGCCAAAAUUAUGCAUGUCAACCGACCAAUUUCACACCUACUGCAAAACUGCAUGCAUCAUCAUCGAAAGUCUCUCACGGAUGGAGAGCAGAGGCAUUUGGCAUCAGAUUGGCCCGGAUGGCAUUGGCAUGUGAAGAUCGAAAGUAUGCCAACUACACCAUUCCAAAUGUCAACCGGCCAUUUUGGAAUGUCACAUUGUGAAUCUGCCUCUUUUCUUGUGGAUGAGUUCUGGCAAAAUGGACUGCAUUUGGUAGCUGGAUUUAUUUUGUCCGGCCUUGAGUUUGAGUGCAUAUGGCAAAAAUUAUUGGAAUUAGCCAAAAUGGAAAAAGAAAGAAGGGUAAAAUUGCCUUAAUGAAGCCAAGGCCUUGGCUUUACAAUAUGUACGCUUGAACACCAAAGAAGAAGGGACCCUAGCGACCGGCCUUGGCUUUAGUUUACACUGAAGCUUCACAGCCCUUACUGAAGCAGUCACCAAAGCCACACGGGGCUAUUGAAGUCUCACAGAAUUUCAUUUUCGGCUAUGACGUGACUGACGCCCGCGUUUGACAUAUAAAAAUCUGAUAUAGAUCCUUUGCUUUACAAAGAAGGUUCUCCCUCUGUCCCACUUUGAUAGUUUUAUUUUCCUUUUUCGUCUGUCCCAAAUUAUAGUCCACUUUCCCAUUAAGAAAUGUAAUAAUCUUUUAAAUUGUCUAAAAUACCCUUAUUAAAUAUCUUGUUAUUAAUAUAUUGUUAUUAAAUACUAACCCACUGCAUUGAAUAUAUUGAGCUUCUCCAAUACUAAUCCAUUAGCUGUAACUGAUAUUAAUUGGCACUCUUCGUGAUUAGCAUAAGGGUAUUUUAGGAAAUUAUUAAUCUAAAUUUAUGUUUUCAACCAAAUUAAUUACACUUUCGUAAUCUGUGUGAAAAAAAAAUCAAGACUAACAAAACGGGACGGAGGGAGUAAUAUUUUUUUAUUUGACUUUUAUACUUAUCUCCAACUCGCGAAUUCCUCCUAUUCAUCUAAUUUAAGGCAUCGGAGUCAUUUCAAGCUCGGCACCGAUCUCUUCCUAUUCACACAAACACAAAACAAAUAAAAUAGCACUAAUUAAUGUUGUUUACUCAAAGAUAAAUACAGACAUUAUAGCAAUGCAGCACUUUAGCAUUUCCUUUGCACCAGUCAAUUCUUUACAGCCCACACUUCCCCCUGCAACUCAUAUUCUAAUCCCAGAUUCCCCCUUCACUCUCAAUUUGUUAAUUAUUCUUCCAAGGCCCCUCAUUUUGGUUUGACUUUCACAUUCUAGACCAACCAUGAAUCACCAAUGUAACACAUUAACCUACAUUACACCAUACUAUACUAUUCUAUAGUCCCCCUACGCCAUAGGCCAUAGGCCAUUCCAACCAACCUUUUGCUACUCUUCGGACUUCUCUCCUCUCUAGUAGUGUCCAAUACAGAAAACAUUCGGUUCCAUAAUCCAUGUAAUCCCACCGCCUUCUUCCUGCACCUCUUUUUCACACACUGAAACACACACAAAGACGCAUAGUUGAGAGUGAUGAAUCAGUAGCACUAAUGGAGGAGGUGUCAGCAUCUUAUGAUCAGUGCAGCUAUUGGGAUGCUGUAUUGGAGCUAACAAAGUUGGCCCAAGAAAAUGGAAGUGACCCUCUAUUGUGGGCAAUUCAAGUUUCCGCGAACAUGAGUUCUUCAGGGGUGUCUUUCCCUUCUUUUGAGUUAGCCAACUUCCUGGUUUCUUACAUUUUCUGGGAAAACAAUGUUCCUAUAACUUGGAAAUUCCUAGAGAAAGCUUUGGUUCUCAAGAUUGUGCCUUCUCUUCCUGUUCUUGCACUGCUCUCCACAAGGUCUCUCUACUCUCCACCUUCUGUUUUAUGGAUUCUUGGUUUUAGUUGAAUAUGUCUUUAAAACUCCUAUCUCUUUCUCAAAUCUUUUCCGGGAUUUGCAUAUCAUGUUGGAAGAGUCAAUUUUUGGAUACUUAGAAAACAGGGAAGAUUAAUUGAGACCUUUAGUUUAAUAUGAAUAACUUAUCAAUUAAUGCAUAUGUCCUACGUUAUAAUUCUCAAGUUUGUUGUCCUACCACACUUUGCUGACUACCUAUACAUUCAUAAAAGAAAUCAUUACGCGUAAGUGUUUCACAACUCUAUCUUCAAUGUUCUGAAGUUUGAACCGCUAGCUCACUUUCUAUGUGUCCCACUGGCGUUUGUGGGUCUUGAAUGUGAAUCAGACUAUUGUGCUCCCAGCCACAUUACUAAAAUAUCAAGAAUUUGUAGAAAAAAGAUGGACUUUUUUCUGGAAUUGAUUAUUUGUCUAGCUGUUCUUAAUUAUGUUAUAUCGUUUGUUUUUCUAGUGAAGUUUCCCUUGCAAUGUGGUUAUCUUUUGAUUGAAUUUUGUCUUCUGAGAUAAUGCUGUAUAAUGGAGGUGUCCAUACUGUACACCAUUUUUUAUUUGUACCUCUUCCGAUGUUCUUACAUUUGCAUCUUCCAAAUACUUGGAAUAAUUAUGACUGAGAACAAUAAUGAACUUUGCUCUUCAUCUCUACUUCUUUACAGGGUAAUCCCAAAUCGACAUUCCUGUCCAGCAGCAUUUAGGCUUUAUAUGGAACUUCUAAAGACGCAUGCAUUCGAGUUUGAGAGUCAUUCAAAGUUACCUAAUUAUCAGAAGUGAGUAUUUCUUUUAACGCAUCCUUGCACGUAAAAUUCUUUUUAAUGUUGAUCUAUUUGCUAAAUUUCCUAGUAGUGUCAGGCUGUUUAGCUGUGCCAUUUCGGUUACUGAAAUUUGUUUUCAUGUCCCAGCCUUUUCCUAAGUGGCUUUCAUUAUUAUUGAUGUCUGAUGAAUUUUUUUCCAGAUUUUAUUGAACAUUGUCUUGCUAUACCUCGUUGGAUACUCUCCGUCCUGGUUUAUCUGGGACACUUAGUAUUUUUGUAUGUUAGGAAAGGUUUGAUACUUCCCUCAGAAGUGAAGUUUUUCAAACGGUUGAUAUUUGAAGGUGUAGUUGCCCACCAUAUCUUACCUUGUUGUUUUGCUUUCAACAUACAGCAGCAUAAUGUCUCCCAUGUUCCCUAUCUUUUAAUCACUACAAAUACAUUUUCCAUUCUCGCAUCAAAUACUCUGUUCAGUCAAGUAUUACCACUUAUGCUUUGGUGAAGCAAUGCUCAAUCAUUUACUUUGCCAUUGAAAUGGUCUUUCCUCCUUGCUAGACUGUGGCCUCCAAAUUUAAUGAUAUGUGUUGUUCCCAUAAAAAAAUAAAUGGCUUUUUUUAGCUGUCUCGGUAUAACUUAAUAGCUCAACAUUUAAUCGCUCAAGAUUUUAAUUAUAACUGAAUAGCUCAAGAUUUAGUCCCCCAAAAACCUUGUCUUCCCUUCAUUGAGUUGGAUGAAAGGGAGAGGGCAAGGGGAAUAACCUCUUGCCUUAAAUGGCUUUUUUUUGCUCUUUUGUCUGAAUAGAUGUGGAAUUUUGUAAUUCCCAUUAGCAACUUGUAUUGCGCUUGUUAUCCUUGUUCAUGGCCAUGUUAAUCUUUUCUCUGCCUUUCCUAUCACUAGAUUUAAAAGACUCUUCAUAGUUCCCACUGCGUCUGGUAUUCUUGUUUUUCAAUGUGCAUCUCAAAAUCUUAAUCCUAUAAUCUGUCUGCUGCAUGCAGGAUCAGGAAGUCAAUUAGUAAUAUUAUCCACUCCUCUCAGAUAUUUGAUGUACAAGCAGAUGAACCUGGAGUUCUUGUGAUUCAGAUUGUCUUUUCAAUUGUUUGGCAAUUGCUUGAUGCAUCCUUGGAUGAUGAAGGGUUGCUGAAACUUACCCCUGAAAAAAAUUCUAGAUGGCCCACUAAACUGCAGGACAUGGAGAUUGAUGGCUACAAAAAUUCUGAUGUAAUGAGGCUUGAAAACAAAGAGAGAUUGAAGAAUGCUAAUACUGUCAUGGCCAUAGAGUUGAUAGGCAAAUUUCUGCAAAACAAAGUAACUUCCAGGAUUAUUUAUUUGGCUCGCCAAAGCAUGUCAGAACUUCAUUCCUUGCACUUUUUCUUUUCAGCUUUAAUAUGCAGUUUUCUUUACAUGUUUUAAGAGUUAAGGGUUUCAUGAAAUGAAUAACACAAAUCAUAUCCUGAUGAGCUUUUUGUCCAUAAUUCACAAUUAUUCAAUUCCUCAGUUAAACUAGCAUCUUUUGAGGAUCAAAAAGUCAACUUAGAUUUCAAGAUGUACGUAUUUUGAGGAUAAAUUUAUGGGCAGUGUUUUAAUUCCCUGACUUCUAAAUUGUUGAUUGCUUUAAUGAUGUAUAUUAUGCUCUUAUUCUCCCCUACCAUAUUGCCCUGAAUGAAUGACAUUAAUAAACUACUUGCUUACUGCCUUUUCAGGAGAAGACCUUGGGGUGGUUUUGUCCAGCGAAUUCAACUGCUUGUAUCACAUUCCACAGCAUUAAGAAAUUCAAAACUUCUAACAUCAGAGACUCUUCUAAAGUUGAUACAUAAUAGUCCCAAGUUAAUGCUGCAGCGUCCCAGAAGAUGUGCUCCAGAGGAGCUACCUGGUGUUGGGCAUUUUAAAUCUCUAGCAUAUAGGUCUGGUUGUCGUGUUGGGCUUAGUUGUGCUUCGCUUUGGCUUCCUCUUGAUUUGAUAUUGGAAGAUGCAAUGGACAAUUCACAAGUUAAUGCAACUAGUUCUGUUGAAACUGUUACUGGUAAAUUCAUUUUGCAUUGUAUCUAAAAUGAAAAUCAGUGCAGAAAAUUUCCUUAAAGUAUGCCAUUCCUUAUUCUUUCAGGUCUAGUAAAAGCUCUUCAAGCAAUCAAUGGUAGCACUUGGCACGAGACUUUCCUAGGACUUUGGAAGGCAGCUUUACGUCUAGUUCAAAGGGUUAGAACUUCUGUUUCAUUAUUUCUUUUCAGGUUACAUCUGAAAGUUUUCUCCCUUCUGCCAUAAUUAUAACAAAAUUCCUCCAGAGAGAUUGAAUGCUCACGUUAAUUUUAGGGGGCAAAGAGUCCAAACAAUUUUUUUUUUCUUUUCAUCACGUUUAUAUAUAUAUUUGUGUGCAUAUAUGUGUUUAAGCCUUUUCAAUUACCUAACUGUUUUUUAUCUAAAGACUUGCAGGAUACUUUAUCAUGUCAAGAAGCAUCCAUGCUUGAGAUCAAUCUUCUUCUAGUUUUGAUUUGACCUUAUAUCCCAAUUUGCUUUUAGUGUACAGCAUAUCACUUCUUAUCAUAUCCAGAUAGAUUAUGGUUUCUUAUGUGCGGGGCAAUUCUAUGCUAAGUUUAUUUGUGUAGAGUUGACUUUUAUAAAACUAUCCACCUUUUCUGCACUUCCUUUGUAAAACAUCUGUUUUUCAUUAAUUGAAUCUAUUUGUAGGAAAGGGAUCCAAUUGAAGGGCCUGUUCCACGCCUAGAUACUCGACUAUGCAUGUUACUCUCUAUCACAACUCUUGUGGUUGCUGAUCUUAUUGAGGAAGAGGAAAGUGCUCCAACUGAUGAGAUUGAUGUUGACUUAGACAGUCAGUGCAAACAGACUACUGGAAAUCGUCGUGGGGAUUUGGCCUCUAGCUUACAGAAUCUGGGUGAUUUUGAGAUGCUUUUAACUCCUCCUCACUCUGUUAUUCCCGCAGCCAAUCAAGCAGCUGCAAAAGCAAUGAUGUUUGUUUCUGGAAUAAACGUUGGCAGUGCAUAUUUUGAAUCCAUCAGCAUGACAGAUAUUCCAACAAACUGUUGUAAGUGUUAUGACUUCUUAAAUGAAGUUUUAAACAUCUCACAAACUGGUCUUUAGAAGAGGAAGAUUGUGAAACUAUUUUGUGGUAAAUUCAGCAACUUUGCUUAACAGUUGUUGAAUUUAACUUCAACAAAUGCUUGUCGGGAAGAAUCAUGAGCAUGGUACCGGCAUGAAAUGGCCCAUGAUUAGUUUAAAUCUUCUACAAUAACGACCAGUGAGAAUAUGCCACCAGUUGCAUAACACUUACUGAUUAACCACAAGAAUGUUUUCUGUGACUAUGGUAUUGGAGGUCUAAAGAUUGAUCCUUCUUGCCUUUCUUGUGACAAUUUUCUGUUGUAUUAGUCCUGGUGUAAUUAUUCUGCUUUGAUGGUCAGAGUGGAUGCCUAUUUGGUGCUUCUUGCAAAUUUUAAUCCAGUUCAGAGAACACGAUGUGUUCAUAGAUUUAAAUGCUAAUUUGAGUAUCAUUUUACCACAUCUUGCUUGGUGCAGUUUCAAAUCGGAACUUUCCUUUGUUGCAUGAGUUUAAUUUUGUAUGGCUGAAAACAAGUUUCAGGACAGUCCAUCCUGUAGUGCUUUAAAGUAACUCACUGUUACUUCUUUUUGAUCUUUUAAGUUUUAGAAAUAUAAGGCAUCAGUUGUGCAAUAAAAUGAUAUUGUCUUUUCUUUUUUGGUGAGCUAUAAAACUUAAAUUUUCUAUCAUACUGUACUAAGUGCUGACCUAGCUCCAGUGAUGAUAGUAAGUGCAUCUUUUGCGGGAUAAUGUGUGAAAAAUGACAUUAUUGUAUUUUGAUAUGAUUAUUUUAUUAAGUCAAAUCUGAUAUGCCAAUGCCCUUGAUAUAGUUUGCAUGUAAGCGGAAAGGAAGGAACAAAUGGAGUUCUCAAAAAGUUGCUUGAUGUUGGAGGUUUAUUUGUAUGGAUUGGAAGAAUGAAAAUACAUAAUUUGAUUUGUCAAUGGAAGUGAUAAAGUUACUUAUGUUGUCUUAAUGCAGCUGGAAACCUGCGACAUGUAAUAGUCGAGGCCUGCAUUGCCAGAAAUUUACUGGAUACAUCUGCUUACUUCUGGCCAGGCUAUGCGAGUGGAAGCAUCAAUCAAUUACCCCACACUGUUCCCACUCAAAUUCCUAGUUGGUCCUCUUUCAUGAAGGGUGCCCCACUUACACCAUUGUUGAUAAAUGCUUUAGUUUCAGUGCCUGCUUCAAGGUAUGUCCCUAUCUUCUGAUGUGAGUUUUCUCUGCACCAAUUUUUUCAGACACAUUCAUCAGUUUUUGUAGUUAUAAAACAUGAGCCAAAAUAAUAAUUGACAAAAGUAAGAUUUUUAGGAGAGUUUUUUUUUUUUUUUGGGAAAUAGAUACUAGUACUAUGUUUAUCAUUGCUGGUAGCUCCAAAGGCACAAUAGAUGAUCUUGUAUAAACCUAUUAGAUUUCAUUGUGUCUUUCUACAUGAUUGCCUGGUCUUCAGUUAUAUAUUUUCUUUGCUGAAGCCAGGUAUAUCAGAUGGUCUUAUUUAUUGAUUUAGCAAGACUAAAGCAACUGAACUUAAGCUCAUGGGUUUAAUGCAAGCUUAGCAGAAUUGGAGAAGAUUUUUGAGACUGCGGUGAAAGGAUCUGAUGAUGAGAAGAUAGCUGCUGCAAGAAUUCUUUCUGGAGCUUCCUUAGUUCGUGGGUGGAAUAUACAGGUAAUUGGCAAUAAUGAAUUCUCCAAAAUUGCCUGUGGAUGCAGAGAGGUGGGAGAGCUGGGGGGGGGGGUGAAAAUGAGAGCUUGGCAUCAAUUUAACAUAGAACUGUAUGCCGAAUGGAGUUACUUUUCCUCAGAAUAAUCUAUGUAUUCUUUUAAUCACUUUCUUUCAUAUCAAUGUCUCCUGGGCAAAAAUUAACCUUAGUUUCUUAAUUUCAUCUUGGUCUUGAUCUUUCAGGAACACACAGCAUAUUUUAUAACCAGAUUGUUGUCUCCACCAGCUCCUGCUGACUACUCUGGGGAUGACAGCCAUUUGAUAGGUUUUGGGCCAAUGCUGAAUGUCUUACUUGUUGGCAUUGCACCUGUUGACUGCGUCCAGAUUUUUUCCCUGCAUGGCCUGGUAUAUGAUGAGUCUGAUCCCUGUCAACCACAUUUUACAUGUGGUAGUGCACUUAUUUCUAUUCCUGUCCUUGACAUGUGGAUUCUUACUGUCAAUCAGUACUAUGUAGCAUUAGUCAACUCAAACCUCAUUUUGUGCUUGUACUUCCAAAAAUUUAGCAUGCCAAUUCAGAAGAGUAUAAUUUGAAUGCCUUCAAUAAAACUUUGUUGACUUUCAUGGUGGAGUUAAAUUUUGCACACCAUGUAAAGGGAUAUGAGUGCAGUAAUGGACUGAAACAGUAGAGACUAGAAACUUGAGGAUAAGUUGGUGAAAGCAAUAUUCUGUAUCAGGAUAUAGAAAUAACAUAUGAAGAGCUUAGGACAUGCUUUCUUUCAUUUUGUAUAACUUUCACUGCAUCUGCCAGCUCAGUGGUGCUGGAAUGCUCGGAAUUUUCUCCACUGGUCCAAGUUUUGUUUGAGAUUUUUUUCUAACAUAGUUUCCUUUUCUCUGAGAUUUGAUGAUUAUCAUAAAUAACUAUGAAGAAUGGGUUUUCAUUUUUGUCAGGUUCCACAACUAGCUUGUUCACUGAUGACGAUAUGCGAGGUAUUUGGUUCAUGUAUUCCUAAUAUCUCAUGGACACUCACUACAGGAGAGGAAAUCUCUGCGCAUGCUGUAUUUUCAAACGCAUUUGCUCUUCUUCUAAAGCUAUGGAGGUUUAAUCAUCCUCCAAUUGAAUAUGGAGUGGGGGACUUACCACCAGUAGGGUCUCAACUAACUCCCGAGUACCUCCUACUUGUGCGUAAUUCCCUGCUAGUAUCUUCUGGAAACUUACUCAAGGAUCCAAAUAGAAGGAGAUUAGCCACUGUUGCAAGUGCUUCUUACCUGAAACCCAUCUUUGUAGACUCAUUUCCAAAACUAAAGGUUUGGUAUAGGCAACAUCUGGCAUGUAUAGCUUCACCCCUUUCUGGGCUUGUCCAUGGAACCCCUGUCCAUCAAACAGUUGAUGCCCUUCUAAACAUGAUGUUCAGAAAAAUUAGUAGAGGAAGCCAGUCAGCAACUUCCAUAACAUCUGGGAGUAGUAGUUCCUCUGGACCUGGCAGUGAAGAUACUCUUCCAAGGCCAAUAUUACCUGCUUGGGAUAUACUUGAAGCUGUCCCUUUUGUGGUUGAUGCUGCUCUAACCAGUUGUGCUCAUGGGAUACUGUCUCCUCGGGAAUUGUGCACAGGUUGGUUCAUGUCAUGUUUGAGCUUCUGUUGGUGAUGAAACUUGGAAAUUAAUUUCUUAAUACCACAUAUGCAUUAGUAUCUUCUUCGUUUAAAUAAUUUGUGCCUUGUUGUCCUGAAGUAUCUUACUGUCCUCUCUAUGAUUUGUCUCCAUAAUUGGAAACCAGUCCACUGUGGCUAGUGUGGCAUCUUCCUGAGGAAAUAGUCUCCUUUUUACUCCCACUAUUCCAUCCAUCCCACAAAACGGGCACAGAGGCACAUACAGGGAAUGUGGAUCUACAGAGAUCAUAUCUCUGCAUAUUUGAAGAAACAAAUUGCCAUUACGUUAUUUCCUUUUAUCUUAUCCUUUCUUUGUUGUUCCUUAUGUUCUGGAGCUUUUUCUUCCAGGCCUUAAAGACUUGGCUGAUUAUCUUCCAGCAUCCUUGGCAACUAUUGUAAGUUACUUCUCUGCUGAAGUAACUCGUGGCAUCUGGAAACCAGUUUUCAUGAAUGGAACUGAUUGGCCAAGCCCUGCUGCCAAUCUCUUUUAUGUUGAGGAACAAAUAAAGAAAAUUUUAGCUGCCACUGGUGUUGAUGUCCCAAGCCUUGCUGCAGGUUUCUCUCCCUAUCAAAAAGUUUCAAAUAAUUAAGUUAUUCUAUGAUGGCUUACUCCAUGUGUUACAAUAUUUGCUUAUUCUGUGUUAAAUCACGGGCUCCCAACCAAUGUUUGCUUUGGUCAGAAAUUUGGAAAAAAAAAAAUCUUAUAAAUAUCAGAGGUUGAUACACCUUAAAAUACUAUUUAUGUUUCUUCUGAACCUUAGAAUACUUUGGUAGGAUACUAAAGUUUCAACGGAUUUUUGCUUUCAAGGUCCGUAUGAUUUUUGGUUGCUUUAUUCCAUUCUUACAAUAUUUAUGUUACCUCAGUUGUUGACUAGAAGUUUAAAUUUCUCUAGGGGGGAACUCUCCAGGAACACUUCCACUGCCGUUGGCUGCAUUUGUGAGCCUCACUAUAACAUACAAACUUGAUAAAGCCUCGCAACGGUUUCUCAAUCUGGCAGGCCCAGCAUUAGAGUCCCUAGCAGCAGGUUGUCCAUGGCCAUGCAUGCCGAUUGUGGCUUCUCUGUGGACCCAAAAGGCAAAACGCUGGAGUGACUUUCUUGUAUUUUCUGCCUCUCGUACUGUCUUCCUACACAACAAUGAUGCAGUUGUUCAGCUGCUAAAAAGUUGCUUCUCCGUGACUCUUGGCCUGAACACAACCUCAGUAACUAGCAAUGGGGGUGUUGGGUCACUUCUUGGCCAUGGAUUUGGAUCACAUAUGUACGGUGGGAUUUCUCCAGUAGCCCCAGGGAUUCUAUAUCUACGUGUUUACAGAUCAAUCAGGGACAUCAUGUUCAUGAGAGAAGAGAUUGUUUCUCUGCUGAUGCAAUCCGUGAAAGACAUAGCAUGCAGUGGGCUACCUGUAGAACAACGAGAAAAGCUGAAGAGCGCCAAAAAUGGCAAGUAUGGGCAUGUUUCACUUGAUACAAUAAUGAUUAAGGUGAAACUAGCAGCUUCUUUGGGAGCUUCACUGGCAUGGUUAACUGGUGGACUGGGGCUUAUGCAGUCAUUGAUAAAAGAAACCUUGCCUUCUUGGUUUCUGUCAGCUCACCCAUCAGACCAGGAAGGGGCCUCCACUAUGGGAGUCCCUAUGCUCCAAGGGUAUGCGCUGGCAUACUUUACAGUGUUUUGUGGAGCACAUGCAUGGGGUUUAGAUGCAAUAUCAUCAUCAUCAAAGCGACGUCCAAAAGUUCUUCGGGAGCACCUGGAGUUUGUAGCUAGUGUCCUUGAUGGCCAAAUAUCACUCGGUUGUGACCCAGCCACCUGGCGGGCUUAUGUCAUGGAGCUUCUGAGCCUGAUGGUUGAUUGCUUUUCCUCUUGGAUGCUUGAGGUGGAUGUAAUGUUGUUGAAGAGACUGGGUGAAGGGCUGAGGAAAUGGAAUGAGGAAGAGCUUGCUCUAGCUUUGCUGUGCCUUGGGGGGGCUGGUACAAUUGGGGCAGCUGCUGAACUGAUCAUAGACACUGACUUGUAGUUCUACUUAUGUACAUGAAAUUUUUGUAGGUUGAUAAAUUUUAUAGACGUAACAGAUGUAACUCAGUGUACAGGUAGGUAAACUUGUGCAGAAUGAAGAUUAUGAGAAUCUAACUCACUACCGUAGUACAAAUCCUUAACCAAUUGAAAGUGAUUUAAUUUGAUGGGGUGAUGUUGAGCUGAUGAAACUGGAUAUGGAUCAUGAACUUAUAAGAGUCUACUUGACAAGAUAUUUGGUCGAGUGUGUCACCAUCCUUGGUUACAAAGGGGAAGGAGGAGGAAGUAAAAAUGCUGGGGGAUUUGCAUUGCAGCUGUUGGAGCUGGUUGAGUUCCUAAAUAUCAAUACUGAUCCUAUUCACCAAAAAAAAAAAAAAUUAAUAAUAAUAAUAGAAUAAAAUAAAAAAGAGGAGAAAUCAAGAUAAUAUACUAUUUUCAAUGCGUGCUAUGCAUUUCAUCAUGCUCCACUCUCCAUGUCCGCUUGUACCAAAGCCAAUUUGGAAGACAAAUACCCUUGAUAUAUACAUAGAAGUUCUCUCCUCCAGCCCUCCUCUUCUCCCUCCCUGGACAGAAUAAUGACAAUCUCUAAUCAAUUGUACCAUGGCUCGCUCCUAAUUUCUGUCAUGUAAAGUUGAAGGAAUUUUUCUUCUCUCUCCUUCACCCUUGAUCCCUUACUAUAUAGCUUACCCUAGUUUGCUUGGAGACUAACAGCAGUUUACACGUACACAAUCUUCACAAUUUUCACUAAUAUCCAAGCAACCAUAUUUAGAUGCUGCUUAUUAACUAUUGCUUAGUUCAAAAAUAAAAGGUAUUUUCACAUCAAUUUAAAGUACAAAAGGAGCUUGAACAAAGCAUUGUAUAAGAGUAUUUUAAGUGCUGAAUCCUGUGAACUGCAACUGCCGAGGAAUUUAUCCUAAUGCAUAUGAAUUGUAAAAACUUAUCCAAGAAGAAAAAUCCUAACACAGAGAUGACCCAAAUACGAACUAUGCUCAUAAGAUUGUUAUUAAAUCAAAUAACGCCACUAUAUGCAGGGGAUCUCAUCAAUCCUUGAGUUUGCAUUGCUUUCCUAACUAAAAAUGCAUCACCCCACCUCCCUGCAUCAGCAUAGAUGUUAGACAGGAGAACCCUGCUUGGACCAUGAGAAGGCUCCAAUCUUGCCAAAUUCUCGGCAGCCCUUUCUCCUACUUCCAUAUCACCGUGUGUUCUACAUGCUGCCAGUAGUGUUCCCCAUAUCACAACAUCUGCCUUCAUUGGCAUCCUUCUUAUUAAUUCUUCUGCUUCUUUAAGUCUUCCUGCCCUACCUAGAAGAUCCACCAUGCAACCAUAGUGCUUGACAGUAGGCUCUAGAUUGUAUACACUCUUCAUGCUCUUAAAAUGUUGAUCUCCAACUUCCACCAACCCUGCGUGGCAGCAUGCACUCAAGACUCCAAUAAAUGUAAUAGGAUUCAGUUUGAUUUUACGCCCCUGCAAGUCAGCAAAAAUUCUUAGAGCCAGUUCAGCAUGUCCAUGCAUGGCUGAGCCACAUAUCAUAGCAUUCCAUGGUGAAACAUCAGAUGCCUUAUCUUUCAUUUGUCGGAACACUUCUAAAGCACUGCUCAUGCUACCACAUUUGGCAUACAUAUCAAUAACUGCUGCACUAAGAUUGUCAUUAAGAGGGAUGGAGUUGUCGCAUAUGUAUUCAUGAGCCCAUCUUCCUUCAUUUAACCUACCCAAUGUAGCAAUUGCAGAUAGGACACUAACCAUUGUAAUUUCAUUUGGUUUAACUCCUCCAGCUACCAUCGCAUGGAAAAGCUCCAAAGCUAUCCCAGGCUGUUCAUUUUGCGAAUAACCAGAAAUCAUUGAGCUCCAUGAGAAAACAUCUCUCUCUGGCAUCUCAUCAAACAAAACCCUAGCUUCAUCAAUCCUUCCGUUUCUAAUCAGUCCUGAGAUGAGGGCAUUCCAGUUUGCAAUAUGGUGUUUGCUUCCUAGUUUGAACUGCAACCAAGCAAGACCAACCUCCUCACAAGCAGCAUAAAAAUGAAUAAUUGUUGCCUGUAUAAAAUCGUAACAAUCAAAGCCCUUCUUCAUGGUUACAGCAUGAAACUGCAGACCAUCCUUAACAGCAGCAGAUUGUCCACAAGCUGAAAUUAUAUCAACAAUCAUCACUUCGUUAGGCCCCAACCCAGUACAAACCAUUUCACGGUAAAGUGUUAAAGCCUCAGUCAACCUCCCAACUUGCACAUAACCAUCAAUUAUUGUACCCCAAGAAACCACAUCUUUAUCAUCUAUCCUCUCAAAAAACUCUCUAGCCAAAUCAACCAAACCUGCCUUAGCAUACCCAUUCAACAUCACGUUCCAUGAAACUACAUUCUUUUCAGGCAUCUCAUCAAAGAGCCUGCUCGCAUCCCUUAAAUGAGAACGCAAGCAGUACAUAUGAACCAAAUUAGUCGAAACAAUAACAAAUCCAACAAGCCCAAGUUUCAUCACCAACCCAUGCAGUGGUCUCCCUUUCUCAAAUCCCCCACCAGCCACAUGCAAAAAAGCCGUAAUCACACUUGCCAUGGUAACUUCAUUCGGAAGCACCCCAGACAUCAUCAUUUCCUGGAAAACCUUAAUUGCCUCACUCGAAGACCCGUUCUGAGCCAGACCCAUUAUCAUAGUUGUAAAAGAAACGCAGUUUUUCCCAGGCAUUUUGUCAAACAACUCACGGGCAUCAUUCAUAUACCUUAAUUUCACAUAGCCAGAGAGCAUAAUAUUGCAAGAAACAGCAUCAAGCUUCUCACAGUCAUCAAAAAUCCUUUUUGCACUAGAAAUCAGCCCACAUUUCGAAUAGAAGCUGAUUAAACUAUUUCGGAUAAAAAUAUUGCAAUCAAGGCCUAAUUUUGCUAUAUGCCCAUGAAUUCCUUGGCCUUUAGGAAUCAAUAACAUAGAAGAGUAAUCUUUCAAAGCGGAGAUGAUUAGGAGCUCGUAAUUGGGUUUUGAACUUCUGAGUCCUUUUAGGUUUUCUUCGGUGGGAUGGGGAGGUUGGUUCAAAGGGGUUACAGAGGACAGGCAUCUGGGAGAUUGAUAGGUGAGUAAAGAGAAAAGGGUUGAGAAAUGAAGGGGUGAUUUGGGUCUGAGAGCAAAGUUCAUGAGACGAGAUCAUGAGGAGUUGUUUCCAAGCAUUCCAAGUUCUGUUCUGGAGAGUUUCCGUCUGCUAACGAACUUUUGGAGGGGAAGAGAACGGCAGUUAUGGUGGAAAACCCGGCCGAUUGGCACACACUGGGCCUUUUCAAUUUGACGAGCUAAUAAUGAAGGUUGGUCCUUUCUAAACCCUGCUAAAGAAACAACGCCUUUAUGAACAGGCUCCAAAAGGCGUAGAAUGUUGAUGCAAACCAACCAUCACACGCCUUCACCUGCCGUUCCACUUUUUGGCCUGGUACAAAUGAUCAGCGUUAAACUCCAUUUUUUCCCCACUUUUAAAUUGUUACAAAGAAAAAUCGGGUCUCUUCUGACGCGGUUGCCUUCUGUUCUGUUUUACAACAAUUUUGUCUGACCAGGACUGGAGGGACAAAAAUUUUAAAAAACCAGUUUUUUCACUGAGGAAGAAAAGAUGCCAACUAUACUAAAAAGAAGGCCUCUUUCACAUUAUAGUCACUUCUUUGAACAUAUAUGGGGCAGCUUUGUAGAUUUUAUGACUCUUUUUAACUUUGUCGUUUGACUUCAGUCGCAAAAAAUAGGACUUGCACAAACCAUUGGGAUCGAGGCAUUUUUCCCUCUAAUGGAAUUCUUGGAGUUUAAGACGACAAAUGUAUCGACCAAUGCCUACAAAAUUCUUCUGAUCUUGUUAUUGUAAAUCUCAUUGCUAGCUGCAAAGCCCUUGUCUCCAUUGUAAUAAAAUAACCACCACGAUCCUUCAUAACAUUGCUCAUGGUAUACACAGUCCCACAAACACAUGCCAAGAUUAAUAAUAUACUUUUAAAGACAGAAUGACAUGGUUCCUGGUGCUAGACUAAAACCAUAGCUUAAUUAGUAGCUAAAAGCUGUCCACUUUGAUUUUUAUCAUUUAUUCGCGUUUCAUUUGGUAUAUCCUUCCAGACAAGAAUUUGUAGAGUUUGAGGAGGUAUGUCUUCUGGUAUUAGGACUAAAGAAUGGUUCUAAACAAGAACAACAGAGAUGUUAAAAAAACAAAAAAGGAAAAAGAAAUGGUGCAAGAAAAAGCAUGUGGUUGAGAGCCAAAGUGCACAGCCAUCAUGAGCGGUCAGCGAUGAUCGCCAGCACCAUAAAGAGCAAGACUCCUGCAAAUAGGAACAUAAAGAGUGAAACAUUACAACUCCAUGCUGUAUUAGCACUUCGAACAAUACAGCCAGUAGAUAGUCACUACUACGUUAACACUUUGAGCAUUACAGCCAGCAAAUAGUCACUAUACUACCGAUAUGAACAAUACAUGAGUAGCCCUCAUCUUGCUAUGUUUCAAGGAACAAGACACAUCAAUGGCAUAUCAAAUGUCAUAAAGAGUCUAAUACAGGUCUGGAAGGUUUAACAUUGUGGACAAUACUAAUAAAUAGUAACAACUAAAGGGGAUAAAUAAGAGAAGAAAUUCUCAAAAAUCCUCAAGAUUUCUUUAAAGAUGGGGUUGCUAUGAACAUCCCAGGCAAGCUGACAAUGCCAUAAUUCUAUAAAAUCAAACCAUUAUAACCUUUGCCAUUUAGUGAUUGAAAGAGUACGCUAAGUACUUCAGCAAUCAUAUGCUUCCAUAAGGGUAAACCUACUCCAAAGUUAAUUACUCUAGUUUAUAUGCUACAAGAAUAGCUUAACAUACAAACCUAAGUUAACUAAACUAUUAGAACCAUAAGUUGACCUCUAAGAAGUACAUUUAUCACAGAAAUGCAGGAAUUUGGAAAACUACAGAAGUAACAUCUGGCUAUAGUUACAAGUUCAAACUCAAAACUGAUAGCUUUGUUCAAGUCUAUAGCAAGCCCAUUAACCCGACUGAUCCAAAAUCAUUUCCUUUGGCUCCAAUCCUUUUUUCAUUCUUCAGAUGCUUAGGGACUACAAGCAUUUAAUAUUUCUGCCUCAAUUGCAUCUUUCAUUUCCAGCACACAUCUCAAGUUGCUUCAAAUAACCUAGUUGCAUCAUAUGUAAAAGAUGCUCCACUAGAAAGAUUUAUAAACUCAUGUGGCAAACAUUCUCAACAAUAACCGCAUACCUCUGCAGGAAUUAAGACCCAAAAGUAUGCUAUUUGUGUGUGCCGUAUGAUUUUUAGGACAAACUUUUACCAGUUUUUGUUAGUCCAGCUAAAUGCAGUUACAUCCUACCACUCAUAGUAACAUGUCAUUUGGCCCUAAGAUUAGCAUGGAGGAUAAUGCUAGAAAACGAAACAUGGCUUGCAGUCAAAAUGUGGAAGAGGAGGUGCCAACAAACUGGUGUAGAAAAUUGAUACCUGAGAAGGACCAAAAAAAAAAAAAUCUAGACAAUGAUAUGGCAACCUUUUAUCUAGACAUUAAGUAAAGACUCAUAGAGACCCGCCCACUUUUUGUUGUCCAUCAUCCAAUUUGAUCUUUAUCUGAUAAUCGCAAUAAUGCUGGUUAAGGACAAUUACCCGCUCCUAGGAAAUGACAUCCAUUAUCAAGUACUGGAGAAAUUUCAGUUUCAAUAUAUGACUUAAGUCUGACUAUAGUAUAUUUAUCUUAAUAUAGUUUUCUUUCAAAAGAUAAAUUCGAAGCUCCCAUUUCCAAAUAGUAAGUUCAGUGGUGAAAAAAAAAAUGACCCAUAUUCUUUAUAGGAAAAUGGGAAUUCUUCUGGUAUGACCUGGGAUGUCUAAUGUAAAUGCAUGGAAAGACAUUUUUACAUGAUUAGUUGGAUAACUUUCUUGAAACUAACAUUUUUCAUUGGAUACCAUAGUCAAAUAGUUUGUGGUAUUGAUUUUGAUCCAACCGAGUUCUACUUAUAGCCACUAGUGUUCAAAGUACAAUUCAACAAUAACUUGAUCGUCUUCUCAAGCUAUUUUAUAUAAAGAUUGCCGGUUAAAAGAAGUGCCAUUAGUUUUAUCAAGAGAAAGACUUUUGGAAGCUCCAAAAUGAGCAGCUUGCUGUCUUAUACACCAAAAAAUACAUAAAACUCACCAGGAGCUAGGGCUGCAAGAAAAUCCAGGUCCAUUGUGAGCUUCCAGAUCUCACAAAAACAAGAAGCUUGCAUAUAUCUUCCAGACCAUAAACCUUAUAGAGCUACAGAACUAAAAUGCAAGGCCUUAACAAAGAUGUUAACAGCACUAAUUUGAGAAACAAUACGAUGUGUAUCAUCUAGUGCAGACGAUUACAAGACCUUCCUUGAUAAUCUUCUCAAAAGUCAAGGAUCUAGGAUCUAUUGAGAUUUGCCAACCAUGAAAAAAAGGCACUUUGGGUCCAUUAACUAGAUCAAAAGUUGGUGCUUGGACAGUCUAAAACUAAAUGGAAUCCAAACCAAAUUCCCAUGGUUUUCUAAACCCCAUUUUAGUUCAUUUCAAGUACCUUUUCAGCCGGACACUCUCCCAAUUCCCAAUUCUCCUCUCCUGCACAAUUCACAGAUACCAUCAUGGCAAAUCCAGAGGGGGUAAUGUCAUCGGAUCUCGAGCAUUAUAAUCGCUGGAUUAACAAUCAGUUGAUGGUAAGGUAGUAGUUCAGUAGGAAGAUCCAACAGGUAAUGGAAUAGGCAUUGCAGAGGGGAAGAGAAGAGAAAGAAGCUUUGGUUGAACAUUACACGAGGAAGUGAAAAACCAGUUCUGGGUAAUUAUGCUUAGGCUAUGCAGGAAUAGAAAACCUUGUACAAGGGAGGCCACCACCUUAGUGUGCUCUGUGAGAAAGCAGCUUAACUUAAACUUCCUUCAGUCUUAGUUUUACUAUGUGACUCUGUCUGUAACCAAAACCACUGCCAGGCAAGACCUUAAUACAUAGCCAUCAAGAAAAAUAUAACAAACGUCAGAAGACUAUUCCAUCGAGAAUAAUGUAGAAGCGUCAACUUUACAAAAUAUCCAACCUUUCUAGACAAUCCAAAUGGUUUUAUACGGUAAAACAAAUGGCUUUAACCCCACAAACUUGCAAAAAAAACCCAUUACAAACUCAAAGACAAAUAAAUUCAAAAAAUUCAUUGAGACACAAACCAUCAUUCGUCCUAUAAUCAGCUCAACAAAAAAAUCCUUUCGGUAAUCAGUUUGGCAUAAGCAUCAAAGCGCACCAUUCUACUUCAGUGGCCCAAAUUUAUCGUCUAAACCGCAUGCAAUAAACAAUCAAUCAGACAAGAAAUAGCCAGCAAUUCAUAGUCUAAUAAAAUCUCAAAUGCAACAAAAGAGUAUCUGAUCAACACCAAAAAGACUCACUUUUUACGGCGGCUACUACGUUUAGGGCCCCAACCUUCAAGUUUAGCAACAGGGCAACCACACUUAGCUCUGAAAAGCAGGACAGCUCUUCCAUUAGGAGGAGCCAUUUUCCUCAACUCAGCUCUCAAGCAUUCAUAAUCCGGGUUAAACUCGUUUCCACCUUUCCAGGGCAACUCAUCAAUCUCCUGAACAGCCUUAUUACCCUUCCCUAAUUUCAAGCAAUCUUCACCCUGCAACUGCAAAUCGAAUUCCAUUGCUUUUUUCAACCCUUUACACCCAAGUUUCCCGCACUUUCUUGAUCUGGGCCCACAGCAGAUCUCGAAAAAAAUCAACAUGAAAACCAAGGACAAAAUCAGGGAGGUGAAGAAAAUGUGGUGGACUUGGAGGUGGGAGUAAAGAUAAGAGAGGAGAGUGGAAAGAGAGAGAGAUGAUGAUGGAGGGAGUAGGAGGGAGAGGGAGUGGAAGAUGUAGGAGAAGCAGGAGGAGAUGAGGAAUGCUCCGGCGAAGAGGACAAGGAUGAGGAUGAGGAGGUCAAGGGUGGCCGAAGGGGAGGAGUGUUUGCAGAGGGAGUGGGAGUUAGAGGCUGAUGAGGGGCAAUUUUGGGAAUUUAAGGAGGUGGGAUUUGUGGGUUUUUUGAGAGGUUUGGAGGGGGAGGAGUGGGUGGUGGAGGAGGAGGCGGAGGUGGUGACAGGGGCCAUGGUGAUGGUUGAGAAGAGGAGGUGAUGGCGCAUGUUAGUAAGGAGGGCUCGGGGAGGAGGCUGGGAAUGGCGUGGGUGGUUUUCAGGUGUGUUAGCUUUUAUUUAUUUCUUUAUUUAUUGGUUUAUGUGGAAAAUACUAAAAUGUUGAGUUGAAGCUUGAAGGUGGACUGUGCGCAGCUUAGCGGUGAGGGGCGCCAGAUGUGCGCAGCUUAGCAGAGAAGUGAAAAAGGGUCGUCGACGGCGGAUGCGCGCAUGUUAGCAUGGUGGGAUGGUGGCUUUAGAGGGUGCGUAGGUUAUCUUUCCACCAAUUGUUUAAUCAUGAAGGCAGUUAUGGUCAAGAGACUUGGCAGUUCAUAGUCUAGGCCACCGCUUAUUUAUACAUAAUAUACAUAUCUAAAUCUUGUAUCAGCUUUUUGUUUCAAUUCGUUGUCUCAUUUCUGGAGGGUCUGUUCGUUUAUGUUUUAUGUGUGUUUCUAUAGCCGAUUGGAUUCAGAAAAUGCUUUUUUAAGUUCAGAUUUUAUUAACGCUUGUGCAAUAAAGACGCCAGAAACUGUUACUGCUCAAGUUAGCAAGUAGUGUUGCUAUAUCUAAGUAACUCUUCAAAUGACUCAUAAUUGCAGUAUUCUUGAGCUGUUCAAGUUUCACUAGCCAAGGGCAGGUGCAACCGUUCUUGAAGGUUAUGUGUAUUUUGCACACAGCAUGGCUCUGUUUGUAUAUUGUGUAACUUACUUUCAAUAACGUAUAAUUUUAGAACAAAAUUUUAUGAAUUCCACACCUAUUAUUGAAAACGAGGUACAAAAUGAGAUUUGGACUAUAACCAAAUUUUGGCUGUGAAUUGCUCGGGAUGGAUCCGCUGAUGACCGUCCCUGCCCCAAAUCCAAGUUUCACAUAGUUAGUUCAGAUGAUGACUUGUGCAGAAACAUAUUCCGGAUCUUCUCAGAUAAGAUAGUGAAGUUUGGACUUCUUGCUUAUUUCCGCAGUUCUUUAUUGUUGUAUAAGAUAAAGUACUUUUACAGCUUCCAAUGCAUAAAAAGCAGACGUUAUGGAAGAAGCGCAGAAACCCUUCAAGAUUAUAGCGUUGCUUUCCGGGAACAGCGUGCAGCAAAAAUCCUGUAAUUCAACACGGCUUCCACAUGUUGAAUGCAGAAUUUGUCCCAGAAUUGACUAAAGCAUUUGCAAGUUGCAAUUUACAUUUAAGGAUUGGAAAAAAUUGCAGUGCCUUUGACUUUAGAGGAAGACGAGUAAAUAAGCUUGGUACCACAAAAAGGCAUAAUUGCAGCAGGAGCUUUCCACUGAUUCUAACUUCUCCUGUGGGUGCUUCCUGGCUGCUGCAAGUAGCUGAGAUUUGGCCCCAUUAAAUGCCACACACGUAUCGUCUGAUCCGAUGAUAAUUCAGCCAGCAUUGAUCCCAAGGGUCGAGUUGAACCUGUCCAGUUCCCCCGUAACUGAUGUAUGAACAAAAAAAAAAAAUCUUGAUCUCAACUAUUUUGAGCAGGAAUUGAUUGCAAUGUUUUCCACCCUACGGCCUAUAUUAGCUGCAUUUAGCUCCUAGCUAAAAGAAAACAGCAUCUAACACCAGGAAAAGGCUUCGAGGGGAACUGGAGGGAUCAUACAGCACCCAGAUUUUCCGUUCUUAUUGUAAGAGAGAAGCACCAAGUUUAAGAAAAGCACUACUUAUUAAAUACUGCAGUGAACCUGAUUGCACGCAUAAGAUGCGUCGACAGUAGUUACAUAUUAUCAUUUACAGAGAUUUAAAAACAUUACCAUAGCAUACAAAUAUUAACAGCAGCAGAAAAGUUCCUGGUAUCCAGCAUGAAUAACUCAUUAGAAUUCACGAUCAGGGAAGAUCAAAGGGGCCACGAGGGACCACACAUACAGGCCAGCAGUGACCCAUUCAGUGCACAUACGAACCCAAACUGAUGUCCAGCCAACAUCUAUUAGAUCUGAGCUCUCAGAACUGCUAGUCCAGCCCGAAAGAAGCAUAGCUGAAUACAUGCUAGCAAGAGCAAAUAUCAGGAGGAAAAAUGAAUACGAGUAACUAACUGGCCGUGGUUCAGCAUCUUUCUUAUCUUUUCCAGCUUCCAACUCAUCAGAUUCAAGAAGAGGUUUCUGUCCACCUGUUAAAAAAAUUGUUCAACAAAUUAGAAUUCAAUGUAACAUCACACAGCAUGAUCAAGGCUUCCAACUCUAGGAAGACAUCCAGUUUCAGCACCAAACUUCUAUGUCAUAGUUUAACAGAGCAGGAUGAUAACAAUAACCAUCCAGCACUGACGACUCUCCUAAAAAUCAUGAGACCUCUAUUUAAACUUAGUAAUAAUUUGGAAAGCUGGACAAAUACAUCUAGCACACUUGAGAAAUUUAGGAAAGAAAGAAAGCACUAACUCUGUUGUAGAAACCCAUGCAGUUCGACAGUUAAACCUAGUCAAAUUUUACAUGCCAAUGAGAAGUAUUUUCAUUAAAAAGGUACAAAAGCAGGAAAACAAAAUCAUGAUCUCAAGCGUCAUUUUCAACCACCUAUCUCAGUCAUACUAGAAAUUGUUCUAGAUGUGUAGUUGCUCGACAGUUUUAGCAUAAUUGAAAUGUCCAGAAGACCCAACCAAGCUAAGUUUUAUUGGUGGACUACAGAGUGGUUCUGUUUUUUUGGCUUGUGGUAGACAAUUAAAAAAAUUCUAUCAAAGUAGAAAUCUUUCAUUCUUAUGAGUACCAAAAUGGUGACAGAAUAUUAAUAGAACACUACAUUACUUCACUCUUGAAACCGCACGGCACAUCUUUGAUUUUAUAAUUCUCUAACAUAGCCUCAGAAAUUCUUAAAUUUUCUGAACAAUGAGUUAAACAUUAGGGAAGGAAACCUCUAAUAAAGCCCAUGUUAUCUUAAAAAGUUACGAAGCACUAGAUUCUGCUGAAUCUUGGUACCUGAUCUGGGUGAAGAUGGAGGGGACAAAAAUGUAGUAGACGAUCCAGCACGGAGUGCAGAAUAUAGAACUGAAAUGAUGGUCGUAAGCAACCCAAGAAUAAGAGUACUUGUUGAUACUGCUCUUGAUGCUUUGUGGAGACCAUUGCAAACAUAAUUUCGAGGUUCGCUAGACAGACCAGUAUAACACACAUAAGCACAAUAAACGGAAAUCACAGAAGCUGGCAACAGGCUCCCAUUUACCUGCCCAAAACCAUGUCAUUAUCACAACCAUUAUCUUCUAAGUGAAAAAUUGUACUCAUUGGAAAUUUCAACAAAGCUGCAGUGCCUUUGAAAGGAGCCCUGUACACAUAAAUUCCAUCUCAUUUUCAUCCAGAACUUUAUCCAAGUCAUAUAGAUCAUAUUCGAGUGGAAAGAGAAUGGGAAUGUUUACAUUACUGUCAGACAAGAUGAGAUUAGUCACAUACAGUUGCUAGAAAUUUGUAAUUGUUGACCUUCUAUGGAAAGCGAGUAAAAAUAAGCAAUGGAAAAAGGAAAGAUUUUUCAAUGAUUAACAAUGAAAAUCAAAGGAUGGCAAGAUUGGCUCUUGAAGUUCCAGAAUGUUAUCUGACAAAAGGAAAACACCCAUUAGAUAUAGACUUAGUUUGUGUGGACCACAAGUUGUUAGGCAAGGCAUCUAUCACAGACAUCGUCCACCUGGAUAAUGAGGCUGCCUAAAGAACAUAAGGUAAAACAGAAAGAAUAUGGUGCCAUGUGCUUGAAUUGCAGUUCACAAAAAAGCCAAAAAGCACAAACUAAUUUACAUUACUCAUUAGUUUCAUCUGCUCUCUUAAAUAUACUGCAGCAGUGGGACAAAAGGAUGGUAGAAGUGUAAAUGUACUUGAAAAUGAAUAAAAUAUAUUGGGCUCGGUGUAGUAACAUGCAAAUCCUAAGUAAUGUAAGAAAAAGAGAGAAAUAGUUCAUUUACCGCUGGGUGUAGUGCGAUAACAGCAAAUGCUAAAGCAAGAAUCAUAGUCAUGACAAUGAAGAAGAUGUUAAGACCACAAUCAUGACCAGAAGGAUUGAACCAAAUAAAGAGAACCCCUGAUAAUGCAUAAGCUCCAAGAUAGCAUACUACUGAUAUGACAAGCAGAGCAAUGUACCUGAAAAAGAUCAAUCAAAGUAUCAGAAACAAUCAAAGAAGAUGCUGGUUGAGAAAAGAUAUAAAAUAUAAUAACUUAAACAGACCACUUCUGCUCAUCUUUUGCAACCCAUGCAUCAUUCCAUGUAUGUGUAGCAUCUAAUAGUAUUAUUACUUGAACCAAUAAGAAUAAUCCUGCCCCAAAUUUUGAAAUAAAUCCUGCAAAGGAAAUUGGUUAGUAGUAGCAAUAUAAAUAACUGCCUAUCUGAAAUAAGUCAAAAUUACCAAUCACAGUAGGUUUAUUAACAAUCUUAGCAUAUCACAUAGGAAGCAUCAGCAUCAUUGAAAGUUUGAACAAAACAAAGCCAAGCAACAAGCCUUUAAUGAAUUGUGUCCAAGUAUUCCUAGUUGGAAUUCUUUAAAUGACAAACCGGAGUGUAUCAGCAUACUAAAUAAUGAUAUCUACCACAGAUUCUUAAGGUAAGUCUCAAGUUGAAAGCAUUGUCAUAGAUUCUAUCACUUGAGACCAGUACCGCUGAAGGGCAAGUGUCUAUUGAAGAGCCUUUUUGGCUGUAGUGAAAUAUUUUGUUGUAUAGCCCCUUCCAUGCCAAAGUAUUUUGUAUUAUAGACAUUUACUCAGACAGGAUCAUAACAGAGUUAGAAUCUUCACCAUGCAGAGAACUCCAUGCAUCAGCAGAAGGAACUCAGAUUUGAACAAUAAAAAAUUCAAGCUGGAGAAAUAUUUACAUCUACAGUUGUAAAACUAACCAUAGAUUGUAAUAACAACAUUUGGGAUGAAAAACAUUAGGAUGACUAGUAAAGCCCAAAUGACCAUCUUGACAGUCCAUCCACCAUGAUGCCAGGAGUCACGCCUGUCAUUUUGAUCCUUGACACCAAUCAUUAGAAGAGCAAGAACUCCAAAAAAUAAGAAAUUCCCCAAGCUGACACGAAGAACUGCUUGUAUUUGAAACCAUUCUUUUGACUGAUCAUCCGAAGUAUUGAUCCCUAGGAAUUGAAGUAAUAAUAUGUUCACAUUAGUGAGACGUCUAAUUCUGCUAAAUAUAAUUGUGAACUAGAAAUAUAUUGAGGCCAAAAUAUGAAAUCAAGUUUUAAUUGAACACAUAAGCAAGUAGAGAUUAUCAGCUUCUCAAAGUUUAUAGCUUUAGUCAUUACUUUGUCAAGUAUAUAUGCCUGGCCUUAUAGGUGUUAUUUAUCCAAAUAUUGAUAUUUUUAGUGCAAAUUAAAAAGAAAAUUUUUGUUGGUUUUAUUUGUAUUCCUUCACAGGGAAAGAGAUUUCUAGGAAAUCAACUUUAUAUCAAUUCGCUAGAAAUGGACUUCUUUUUCUACAUCGAUUCCCAAUAAUAUUUCUGAGACUUUAAAAUCAGAAUUUUUACAACACAUUUCCUUAGUUUGGGAGCACCAACAAAAACCAACAACAUAAAGGAAAUAAAAAUAUCAAUAUUUUGGUAAAUAGCAUGAAGAUAUAGACUUAUAUCUGCAGAUGACUUAAACAACUAAAAACAAGGAUUUGGCGGAGAAUAGGGGCUUCUGGAUAUAGGUUCAACUAGUAAGCAUAGAACUCCAUUUACACUGCUGUCACAACUUGGUUCAUCACAAAGGCAAUUUGAAAUGAACACAGAAGUUACAAGCAAAGAAUGAAAGUCCAACUUGGGUUGCCUUCAACGCACUAAUAGUAUUAUAGAGAAAACAGGGGCCCUUGAGUCUUUGCAGAACUCAGCUCAAAUGCAUAACUUAAAAGAGAGUAACAUGGAAAGGAGUCUAAGAACUCAGAUAAUGUUGCAAGGAAAAUGCAUCAAGUAUUCUUUUCCUGGAAUUUUCGAACGCAUAGGCAGAUCUUCUUAUGUUAUUGUUAUCACUUUCAAUGGCAAAGAAAGUAGCUUUUUGCCAUUAUCAUUCAACAACUACAGAAAGAAACUAGAUAGUGUUUAUCCUAACCAACUAGCGAGGGUCAUAUCUCAUUGAACUAGUCUGACAAAACUAGCAAUUCUCAGAAUGCUGUUAUGUUGUUACCAUGAUACAGCUUAUGUUGAAACCAUGGAGACAAUCACCACUUGCAUGUAGUUGCUUAGUUCUGUCUUCUUAAGAAGAUUCUGCUUCUUAGUAAAUCCUCCCAAAUAAGUCAAAAAAAUUAAAGAAAGUCUGUUCCUUUAUAAAAAACCAUUGACACUUCUAAAACCCUUCCGUUCUAUUAUAGAUAUCUUUUUCUUCUAAGAUGGCUCCCCCAUUAAAACUCUUUAACUUUAUCCCCUCUCAUAAUUUCCUUGAUCUCACAGUGGAAACAAACUCAGGAUUUCCGCUCUAUAUUUGACAAAUGAAUACAAAAGCACCAGGAAAUGCAAAACAUAGAUAAGAAUCCAGUUUUCCUUUUUUCCACCUUGUGAUAUCUCACAAAAAGAAUAAAUUGCUAGAAGAAAACCGAAAAGAAGCUCACAAAUUCCAAAGGAAAAAAUCCCAAAUCAACAAAUUACUGGAAUUCUUUGACAAGAUCAAACACCAUCUCGUCAGUUGCCCUGAACUUAAUAUUGAAGAAGAUAAUAAGUUGUCUAAUCACCUCAGUUCAAAUGAGUCAUAAAUAACAAGAACCCGUCAGAAAUAUCGGUAAAAUGAUUAAAUUCACCAAUCAAGUUCAACUAAGAAAGUGAGAUUUUUUAUCACUGUGAAUAAACAUCUUAUAUUAGAUAUGUCGGAAAAAGGAAAAGAACCCAGAUAAGAAAAUUAAUGAAAAUGGACAAAGAUUUCACAAAAAGAGGGAAAAAAAGGUAUUUUGAGGAAAUUACAAGGAAAUUUCUCCAAGAGUGGAGCACCAACUUCACGUAGAAUCCAAGAAAUGAUCAAGGAAAGGCCAAAGAGGCCACAGUAAGCAAGUCUAGCUGACUUCUUGCUGAUCCCUGAGGCCACUGAAGAGCAGAGCCCACAUGUCAGAGAUGCACAGCAUGAUGCCAAGCACGACAUCUUUCUUGCUUCUCUUUUGCGUAGAUUUGAUUAGUGUCCCUUCUGCGUGAAUAUCUGUUCUAUGGAGCUGAUUGUCCAAUUCUUCAAACAAGGGAUGAGGGUCAUGAGACGUGUUCAGUCAAGCUGGAAGGUAGAACCGUGAACGCGAAAAAAAAAAAUUCUUGAAUUGCAGGACCUCCCUCAAGUUUGCUAGAAAUGUAGUCAGGACUCCUAUGAUUUGGAAAAUUACGUUGGCUUCCUGUUUCAAGUAUUGUACAUUUGUACUUAGUUCUUCCUUACUAUAGGAGGAUAAUUUGAUAGGUAUAAAGUGCAAGUUAAUGAACUACUUUGGUACGAGAGGAUUUCAGAUUGACAAAGCGUAAGCUAAUCCCAAGACCUUCAAAAUUAAUCAGGAAAUUUUGUAGUUUUUCUCUCUGGACAAAAGGGUGCAAUAAUAGCUAAUGCACAGGCAAGUAAUUCUACUUUUACCAUGCAUACAGAAACUUAGAAAGCAACACCUAGAGUAGUUUAUCCCACGUCGGGUCGGGGGUUGGGUUAGUUGGGUAGAUAAGUCCUCGGGGUUGUACCAAGAGUUACCGGCUUUUGGUAUUAACUCUGGGAUUAGGUUUAUUUCAUUCGGCAAAAGUCAAUUGCUUUGAGUCGAAAAAAGACAAACUGCUCGUUAGGAUUAGCAUGCUUAGUUCAUGUGCCAGGGUUCUUAGCUUAGGUUGGGAACACCUAGAGUAGUUUAUCCCACAUCGGGUCGGAGAGUUGGGUUAGUUGGGUAAAUAAGUCCCUAGGAUUGUACCAAGAGUUGCCAGCUUUUGGUAUUAACUCUGGGAUUAGGUUUAUUUCAUUUGGCAAAAGUCAAUUGCUUUGAGUUGGAAAAAAAAAAAAUGGACCAAUGGUUGUGCAACAUUGCUCGCCUGUUGGAGACCUGGGGUGACUUAGAAAAUUUGCUGGUAAAGGAUGAGUACAUCUAAUUGUCAUUCUUUGAAAACUUGUACUUUCAUCACUAUUCACUAGUUGGUCUGGUCCACUGCCUGUUUCUUUUACCAGAUCUAGACUAGUGAUCUAGUACAUCUAAUUGUCUUUCUUUUUGCACUUUCCCGGUGAGGGGCACGAGCGGUCUCUGACGACUGCUCCUGAACUAUUCACGGCCAGAUUUUGGCCAGAAAAAAAUAUAUAUAUGAUCCAGAUCACUAGUUGUACAUUGAUUUUCAUAAUGUGUGUGAAAUUUAUAAAAUUUUGUAUAAAAGUUACACAUUAUGUAAAUAAAAUUACGCUAUGUGCAACCAAAAUUACGCGCCAUUAAAAAUAGCCAAAACCGUCCGUUCCUGCUCCUUGUCCGCACUUCCCUGUUUCCAUUCUCCUACAUCAUAUGCCAUCAAACUAUUUUCAGCUGUACUCAUGUGCCCUAACGAGUAAUCUUCAUUGGGUCAUUCACUGACUUGGCUCCUGUAUAUGUACUAAGUCCACGUAUGGUAGUAAAUGUUAGGGUCCAAAAUGGCUAAGCCUGUGGUAUUCCUGUAGACUACUACUGAUAAUGAGACUCACAAAGCUUUAGGAACAAUUUUACUCUUCAUCUCAACAAUCAAGAUGCCCCUGAAUUCCUCUACAGUAUCUGAUAUUCACCAUUACUAGGCUCAACCACGUAUCCCUCUAUGUGUGUAAUUAGGAUAUGAUCUAUCUUAAAUGGAACCAUAGGGUGAUAUAGAGUUGAAAACCUUUGCAAGUUUUUAUCAUUCCAGUAUGGUAGAAUUUACACAUAUUAAACAUAUCUACUGUGAAAAGUGAAUUCUAGAAAUGGCUUAACGCAUUUUUUUCACCGCUCCUAGAUAAGUAAUUAGACUGUCAAUAUACAUGAUUUUGACAAUUUACUUCCUUCCUUCCUUUCACCUAACCAAGACCCCAAAUAUACCUCCUCCUCCUUCACUAUCAUGGAUUGGUCUUCCCAACCUCUCCUGUCAGUUAUCACAUCCCAUUUAUUUCCCCAUUGAUUAUUGAGUUUUAGUUUUCGUUAUACAGAUAAUAAACGAACAAGAUGAAGAUUGGCUUUUACUCUCCCCUCUUUCUGCAUAGUUAGAAUCUCUUUUCCUCUUGUCAGUUCUUAUCCUGUCCCUUGAAAGGGAAUGUUGUGAUUGUAGUGUCUCAGUUAGUCAUGUCAUUGGACUACAUACUACUAACUACUUCAUCUCCAUCCAUUAUUGUACUUCCCACCAAGAAAGCAAAAAUUGCAACAGGAAAACAUUCCCCCACACUUACAGAUUUUUCUCAUUUUCUUGCUUUUCAGUUCAAUAACCUAUAAAGCACAAACAUUCAAGUUGUCUCCAACUUGUCAACAUUCCCCAAUAACAUUCUGCCACCUGUCUUUCAAGCCAUCAGACAGCAAGGGAGCUAAGCUAAAUGUGUGUCCUCAAUUGGCAUUGGACCUGAACUCCCAAAGGGUCCUUAAGUUGUAUCAACCACAUUAUCUUUAAUUGAAGCCUAUGUGAUAGCUCGUUAUCAAUACUUUCUAUCCUAGAGGUCCACCAAGAUUUCUCUGUUAGACUGAUAAUAUAAAGGAUCUUAUCUUUGAUCUUCUUCAUUACGAUAAAGAUUGAAGUGAACCCUUCUUGUUUCUUGCCAUUCUUUGCAAAUGAGAGUGGGACAUGGUUCAAAGUUCGUACCUUAUCUUACUGUUUCUUGGUAGGGGCAAGUUGAAAUUGAUGAUCGCUCAUAGUCAAGGGUUACCACUAUGGGGAAGAGGGUCUUGGAUUCAUCAACAUAUGGAUUAAUUCAAUCUGUUUACACUAUUUGUUUUUUAUUAUAAAGUUGAUCCUAAACACAAAACUCUUUGUUCCCUAGCAAGUACAUGUCUUGAAUUAUCAAUCUAGUUUUACAACACAAGCAAAAGUAUAUGUCUUGAAUUGCCAGAUGUACACAAUGUUUUGAUGGUAUUAUUAAAUGCAUAGUAACGAGUCAAAUCAAUAAUUGUUAAGAAAUCCUCUUCUUGCACACGUUAUUGUUUUCCUGGAUGUUUGAAGAAUUGCUAACUAGUUAGAGAAUCUUCAAGAAGGUGUCUUGGUCAAGGAGGGUUUUGUUCUUCUCAUUGCAGCAAUAAGGUAGGGACCAAUACACGGUUCAUUGCAAGUUCAGGACCUGGAUACAAGUCCUUUAGUAAACACGGGCGGCAAUGAUAAGUGGCAGGCAAGUCUCAACUGAUUGAGAAGAUGUUAGCUUGAGUUAAGAUAGAUAAGGGCACGUGAAGCCAAUUGAUUCUGAGGGUACAAGAAGUCCCCACUAACUACAAAGUGCGCGUAAACCCCCAAAAAUCUACAUGUGGAUCCAAUUUGACUGCUAUCGAAGUCCAGUCCUUUUGCACACACUAUUUAAGCUAACAAUCACAAUAAUUAGGCCUCAGUUGCAGCAAAGCUUGGUUUAGUGCAUGUAAGGACUUACCUGCUGGAAGAUUUAUGGGAAAGAGAUUUGGCAAGUGGAGAAGAAUAGUGAGACAACUCAGGGGGAGGCUCUACAUUAUAAGGGUGUGCAUAACUAUGCUAUUGUGUUGGGAUGAAAAGUACCCUUAGAUUUUACAAGCAGGAUGAGCACUGUAAUUGUUAUAGAUUUUUCAGAAUCUGUUCAGCUUUGUGAGUAGUAUAUAUAUACUUGUUCAUAUGUUUUUAAAUGGUAAUGAAAAGUUCUGUUCAAAUGUUUCACCUGUAGUCUUAAAUGAGUGUUUCCAUUUAUUCAUUCUAUAUUAAAUUAGUUCCCCAUUUGUUUUUAUUGCAAGUUUCUUGGCUGCCAGUGAGCUUAAUGUUUCUCCCACUUUAAAUGAUGCUUGAGCAUGGUAUUGUAUUUUAUAUUGGGAUGUCAUUCUCUUCUUCAGUAUGGCAUGCAGAGAUGUUAGAUGACAUGCAUCUACGUCUUCAAGCAUGCAUGCAUGCAAAUCUUCUGAGUUCCUACUUGAGAAGCAAAAAUUAUGUCUCAGUAUUCAUUAUUUUGGACGUGCCUGCAACUUUGUAUAAAGGUGAACUUCCUCUUCUUCGAAGCAGUCAGGCAAACGUCUGCAACUUCUUCUUCUCCUUUUUUUUUUUUCCUUUUUGGGCAUACAAAGUGAAGCAUGCAACUUACAUGUAGUUAAUUUGUAUCCAUUUCCUUCAUUUGCUUGCACUUCGUGCGGGACUACUUAGCAUUUAACCAUGCGAAAUGGUUAAAUACUGAAGUAUUUCCUACCUGGGAAGAGACUAUAAGUUAGUUGAUGAGUGACAGUAACUUGUUAAAGUCCCCACACAGACAAUGAAAGAAUCACAUGUUAUGCUGUGUCUUUUGAAAACUCUACUUGACAUACAUUUGCUUUUUCCUAAGAGCCUGGGCGUGGUAAAUAUCCUCAGUAUUUGAUUCAAAAUUCGAACUCCAACACCUUGAUAUUGUCUCAAGGAUGCUGGAAGUCACAAAAGAAGAAUAAUCAGCAAGAGUCAUGCUAUUUUCACAGGCAAGUUGUGCUGAAGCUUAUAAUGAUAUCUUAGGAAUUCAUCACUUGUGCCAAAAUCUUUAAAUGCAAGAGGAACUCUUUUAAUGUGACAAAUGAAUCUUCUUGAAGCAGGUCUUGCUUCCUUAGCGUUUUUAUUGUUUUUUCUUCUCCCCUUGUAUGCGAAUAAUCUUCUGAACAUUUUUCACAGUACCCUUGUCCAACACUAUCCGAAUUUUCUGGAAUAAAUAUCCAUUUUAAUGCCUCUUUUGCUAGGAUUCUGGAAUUAAUAUCUAUAUCUUAACACAGAGAGACAAAUAUGUUGCUGUAAACUGACAGAUAUUGCCAUUCACUCUGUAAGGCAGGAAGACAACCUGAUGACUCUGCUUAUUCAUCUUUUGGUGAACAAUGGGACCCUUGCAUGCUGUCCUCAAUUCAACCCAAUGAGGGGCCAACAUCUGUUGACCACCACAUAUUUGAUAUUUCAUCAUUCACCUUAUAUAUACAAGUGCAUCUCUUCUCUACACUGAUCAUCUAAACACAAAAUCUUGACUACAUUUGUAUAUACAUUUCUCAUCUCUUGCUAGUACUAAAGAUCUCAACUAGUUCUUAUAGUACUUUCAGUUUUUCUAUCCAUGGCUGAGCAGUCAAUCUUUAGCAGAAAGCAAAGAAGGUUUUGGUCAUGGCAGAGGUGUUCGAGGUACAUCCAGGAGCAGCGUACCCGCCUCUAUAUAAUAUGGAAGUGUUCAAUACUUCUACUGCAGUGGAAUGACUUGUGACGCUUUGACCUCUGAAGGAUCAUCUAGUGCAAAAGGAGGACUGUGUAACAUACAAGAAAGCUAUGCAAAAGGAGGACUAUGUAACAGACGACAAAGCUAACUUAUAGGCGGUGCUAUAUGGAUAGUUGGGCAGCAUGAGAAAUAGGAGAGCCAAAGCCAGGAAAUCUGAAAGAUGAACUCCCAGAAAGCUUGUGAUCAUGAUGAUUUACCACAGCUGCUAUGUGAAAUUUAUGUUACUUAGCAUGAUGUAGAUGUAAUCUUUUCUGUAUACCCCUCCCCUCCUCCCUUCACUAAACUUCAGUCAGGUACCACAUGCCAAAUCUACAUGCUCGAGAUGUGCUAUGAAACGGAUCAUCUGAAAUUUCACCGUUGUUUUUAGCGCAAACGGAUCCCCUGGGCUACAGCAGUGAACACUCUAGUUUCAAACUUCAAAGCUUGUGAUAAAAUAUCCCUCAAUUCAGUAAUUCUCUCCAAUAGCCGGAGACUGCUACAUAUGCCUUUUUUUUUUAUCACUUUAAAACCUGGCCAAUUUACACGUAAAAUGCACUCAUAUAUGCUGAAUUACUUUCUCUAACUCGAGGAAGAUAACUUUUCAGUGGAAGAUCAUUGAUAUCAUGUAUUCCAUUCUCUAAGAGGUAUUAAUAUAGUCACUGUGUAGCUAUGCAAGAAUCCGCAAAUCACAUAGACCUUAAAAGCUCCAGUAUCAUAUUUAUCUAAACAUAUGGCAAAAUUUUCGUCAAAACGUACAUAAAAAAAUUAUAUGCAGUUUCAGGACUACAUAAUGAUGGACAAAUAUUAAUCCACCUCUCAGUCACCUACUACGUUUUGUACUCUCUGGGUGCCACUGUAUAUUCUCAGGAAGCCACCAAAUUACGAGCUCUGUCUGUAUCAUCUCUUAUCG